UACGUCUCACUGACAAACAUACAUACUGAGAGAGAGAGAGAGAGAGAGAGAGAGAGAGAGAGGAUGCUGGCGGUCAGAUGAAUAAGAUCAAGAUGGAGACAAACCAACAAAAAAGAAAAUAGCCAUGACCUACUAAAUGAUGACGAUGAUAAGGAUAGUAGUAGUAGUAGUAGUAGUAGUAAACUUUCUUCAUUUGUUUAAUAAUACGUAAAAAAUUAAAUACGUUCCAACCUAAUAAUUCUUAAUACAAAAAACUAGAAUUAAACAACCUUUAAAGCCUUCCUCCCCCCCUCCCUAACACACACACACACACACACACACACACAUGCACACUCGUAAACACAACACACACAGACUCUUUACCAUUCUCUUUACCCUCAACAUUCCCUCUCUCACAGUUAAACAUUUUCCUUCCUUUCUCUUCCACAAACGGAUAAAUAAAGAUAGAUAUACAAACUGACACAGAUAGCUAGAUAAGAUAGGAUAGGCAGACAUUAUACUGAAAACAGAAUUAGAAAACAUAUCAAACUAGCAACAGAUAACGUAAACAUACCACAUUUAUAAACACACACACAUACACACAAAAUAUUCCAUUCCUCCCAGUCAGUCCCUCAGCGGCCGGCGGCAUCUACCUCGUCCACAUCACCAUGACCACCUUCACUUUAUAGUUCCCCUGAGGCACCCAGUGAUUCCAGUCCCCUCCGCUGCUCACUCUCCCCGUUACUGACGUGUAGGAAGGUAGCGGGAAAGGGGCGGGGAGGGGGGAGGGACGAUUUAAAGGUCUACCGUUCGCUUGAUUAAUAGACCUGACUUGGGGAGAUGGAGGAGGAGGGGUCGGGGAGAAGGUCGUUGAUAAGGUAGGUGGACAAAACGAUAUAGGAAGAUGAGGAGGAGGGGGCGGGGACGAUGUCGUAGAAAAGGCAGGUGGACAAGACGAUGUAGGAAGAUGAGGAGGGGGAGAAGGUUGAAGGUAAUGAUAGGUUGAAUAGCGGUGACGAUAGAGUGGAUUUAAAAGUACCGUUCAUAGCAUACUUGUUUCUGGUCCACGGUUGGUUGGUGCAUAAAUAAGGGUGGGACGGGUGACGGUGUAAGUGGAUGAGGUACUGUCAAUGAGGCUACGGACUAACAGCGUAAUAGCUGAUGCAGGUGGAUUUAGAGUUACCGUUCAUGACUUGUUUCUCGUUGAGGAUAGAAGAGGCGGAGAUAAGUGAAGUACAGGAGCCAAAGUGUGGAAAGGUGCUAUCAAUGAGAAUAAAGCCCGGGAUUAACACAGAUGAUAAUGCGAUAACAUGGUGCAGGUGAACUUAAAGAUACCGUUCACAGCUAUUUUGGCUGAAGAUGAAAGAGGCGGUGAUAAGUGAAGUACAGGAGCCAGCGUACGAAAAGGUGCUGUCAAUGAGGCUAAAGACUGGAAUUAACACUAGAUAGCAAGGUAAUAGGGUGCAGGUGGGUUUAAAGACACCGCUCACAAUUUGUUAUCGGCGUCACAGACGCCGAUCAACAGAUUGUCCAUCUUCUUAGUGUUGUUGUUGUUCUCUCCAAAUUGUUUUCCUGGCUUACCCAUGCAUUGUAGACAUGACAUUGUAUAAUAGCAUUUGUUAGCCCUGAUGAACCCUACAAUAUAGCAUUAUAGGCAAAGGCAAAGUCAGCAAAGGCCGGUAGGCCUUCACAGUAGGACCUGAUGGUCGGCCCCAGCCCGUUGUGACGCAGGCAAGUGUUUAUAGUGGCGCCAUCUUUACUCUUCAGCAUUUUCCAUUUUAGAACCCUAGUUGCAUAAUAUAAAUUGUUGGGAGGGUGUUGGAGGGUCAUGCGACGCCGAUUUAACACAGUUUUUGUGCUAUUAACACUUGUUUCUGGUUAAGAGGUGGAGAUGAGUGAAGUGCAGGAGCCAGUGUAUGCAAAGGAGGUGUUAUCAAUGAGGCUAAUGACUGGAAUUAACACUAGAUAGGGAGAUAACAGGGUGCAGGUGGGUUUAAGAUACCGUUCACAGCUUGCUUCUGGUUAAGGAUGGGCGAGGUGGAGAUGAGUGAAGUACGGGAGCCAGUGUAUGGAAAAGAGGUGCUGUCAAUAAGGCUAAAGACUGCAAUUAAUAACUAGGUAGCGAGAUAGAAGGGUGGAAGUGGAUUGAAAGAUACCGUUCACGGCUUGUUUCUGUUAUAAGGACAGAAGAGGCGGAGGCAAGUGAAGUACAGGAGCCAGCGUAAGAAAUGGAGGUGCUGUCAAUGAGGCUAAAGACUGAAGGUAGCGGGGUCACAGGGCGUGUUUCAAGAUGUCGCUCACAACUUGUUUCUGGUAAGGGAUGAACGAGGUGAUGAGGGAAAUACAGAAGCCAAAGUAAGAAAAGAGGUGCUGUCAAUGAAGCUAAAGACUGAGAUUAACACUGUAGAUUGCGAGAAAAAAGGAUGCAGGUAGAUUUAGAUACCGUUCACAUGUCAAGGAUGGAAGAGGCGGAGAUAAGUGAAGUAGGUACAGGAGCCAGUGUAUGGAAAGGAGGUGCUGUCAAUGAGGCUAAGACAGGAAUUAACACUGUAGGUAGGGAGUCAUCGAGUGCAGGUGGAGCUAAAGAUACCGUAUUUUUUCUGGCUUAUAGAAAGGACGAGGUGGAGAUAAGUAAAGUAAAGGAGCCAGCAUAUGCAAAGAGGUGAUGUCAAUGAGACUUAGGACUGAGAUUAACAUUGUAGGCAGCGGGGUAACAGGGUGCAGGUGGAUUUAAAGCUCCGGCUCACGACUUGCUUCUAGCGCAGAGUGGUGGGCGGGGCACAGAUAAGGCAAGUGCAGAUGGCGGUGUAAGUGGAUGGGUGGAACAGCGGCAGUGGGAUGGGACGGACUGCCUGGUGGAACGUAGUGAGAGGAGGGUGAAGGGGUGUGUGGAAAGGGUGUGUGGAAAGGGAAAGCGACGCCGAAGGGUGGCAAAGCGGAGAGCUGGGAGAAAGGAAAUGGACGGGGGUGAAACGAGGGAGUGUAAGAUGGUGGAAGAGAAGGAGGAGAAGAGGAUGGAGGAGAAGGAUGGUGCUUGGAGUAGGUGCCUGAGAACAAGAGGAGGGGAGAGGAGAGCAAACAUAAGAGGUGUAGGUGGAUGGACUGAAGAGGAAGAAGAGGAGGCGGCGGCAAGAAGUGGGAGGGGAUUGUUGAGAGUUGGGAUUGCUGGAGGCCGUAUGCGGUCAAGUCUUGGUGACUCAUGCCCUGCCUCCUCCCCAAUCCCCCUCCCACCACUCUCGCACACCUUCCCCACCCCUCCCUCUUCCCCCAGCCAGCCGCUGCACCCACAAUACGCCCUCCUUCGUUCCUUCCCCACGCAUUCAACCAGCCAGUCAGCAUCUAUCCUUGGUUCAUCUCCUCCCCGAGGCUGAAACAGAGCCCUCAGAGCCCUAUGCACCCUUCCUUGUCCCGAGAAAGAGGGAAGGCGAUGGGGGAGGCAGUGACGGCGACCUUGAGAGGGUAGGAGUGGGGAGAGGCACAGAGGGAGCAGAGAGGGUAGGAAGAAGGGAGGGAAGAUGAGCGGAGAGGCACGAGGGAGGAGGGAAGAGCCACGCUACAUCACCACACAAUACCCUCCCCUUCACACACACACACACACACACACACACACACAAGUGCCUCUCGCUCUCCGCUGAUACAAGAGGCGUCAUCUCAAGCUGUCUAAUGCUGCAUGGUUGCCAGACACAGGUGUAAAUUUUUAUCUGCAGAAGGAGCAGAAAGAGGAUAUAUAGAAAGGGCGACCACCUACAGAAAGAGGAAGAAAAGCCGGAAAAUCUUCAAGAAAACGCGGGAGAAAAUGUGGAGGAUGAAAUAUACGAGGAAGAGAAAGCAGGGAGGAUGAUCUACACGAGGAAGAGAAGGGAAAAGGGGGAGAGAAAGCAUGGUGGAAAGCGGCUGAUGUCAGAGAUAAGAGAUGAUAGUGGAACGUGACUGUUGUUGGUAUUGUCAUUGUCCUCUGACUGUGUGUGUGUGUGUGUGUGUGUGUGUGUGCGCUUGGCAUGUGUAUGUAUUUGUUCAAGGAUAAUCUUGUGGCUAAUAGUCUGACCUCUCUCUCUCUCUCUCUCUCUCUCUCUCUCUCUCUCUCUCUCUCUCUCUCUCUCUUUCUCUCUCAUCACCCCCUUGAGGUAAGCAUCAGAUUAAACACUGAUUCAACAUCCUGGUUGUAGAAUUUAUUUUAUUAUUUUCUUCUUUUGUCAAUAUAUUAUUUCUUAAGACGGAAAAACACGGAUAAAUGAAUCAUAAUUAUCGCAGACUGAUAUCUAAUCACACACACACACACACACACACACAAUUUUCUAAACCGAGUAAGUUGAUCAAAGAGAUGUUGACUAAUAAUGGAAUCGUGUGUUCUAAAGGACAUACGUAGACAAGUUGAAGAUAUAUUUCAAUGACAACAUGGGAUAUACAAUAGAGGGACAUCUACGUGCCUGACUCAACCCUGUAAAUAGGAAUUAACUCACACACUUCAUGCACAGGUACGUAAAUACUUCUUUCUACUUUCUCUUCCUUGUGUAAAUAUUCUCCUCCAUGUUUUCCCUCACUCACUAACUCAUUGCCCUCAUGAUUUCCCUCUUUCUUCACCUUCACCUCUUUUUGUAGAUAAUCCUGCUUCCUAUGAUAUUUCCUCCUGCACACACACACACACACGCACACUCGCGGCCUCCAGGGGACCACACACUCUCACUUCAGGAGGGACACCAAGGCCGCUGAAGUGUGCCAGCAUUCCACACUUCCACGCAAGACUACAUUCCUCAUGGCCCAGCAGAAACGGGGAUGAGAGGGAGGAGAAAGAGGAGAAGGGGGAGGAUGGGGUAGGGAGGAGAGAUGGGGGGGAGGGCUGACUUAUUCAUUUUAGGCCAGUAGAGAAGGAGAGAAAAAGAAAGGGGAGGAGGAUAAAGAGGAGGGUAAGGGCAGGACUGAUUUAGGAAAAAUCUGAGGAAUGGAUGCGGCCGUGACAGCAUCCGGAAGGCCGCUUUGAUGUCUAAUUUUUCCUCCUUUGCCAUAAGUUACUGUGCGCCCCCUCCACCCCUCUUUUUCAACGUUUCUGUCCUCUUCCAAGAAACACACACACACACACACACAGUGAACUUCAAGUCAUCAGUAUUUUUUUUCAUUCCUUUUAGUCAAUGAGUCACUUUCAUCUACACACACACACACACACACACACACACACACGAACUGAUGACUGAAGAGAAACUAUCAACCUCCACUUAUAUCCCAAGGCACUGCGGAGUCACGGUGGUUAACUUUUUUUUUUGUCUUCGUGUGUUCUUUUUUCUUUCCUUUUGUUCCACGACGAAAAUAUAUCGCUCGGCUACACCUGAACGAGGCUGCCGGGAGGAAAACACGGAAAGAAAAUAUAACGACAAAAAUAAAAGCGACGACGUAUUCACAAAUGUCUGGCAAUCAUGACCCAACCCGACCGACCAGACUGGCGAUCUGAACCCAUCAAGGAAUAAAUUUAACUCCAAUAAUAAUCACAAUAAUAAUAAUAAUAAUAAUGAUGAAAAUAGAAAGGACGAGAGAAGCAUCACAGAACAAAGAACAAGAAAAAUUAAUCGAAAAACAGUGUGUGUGUGUGUAAGAGAGAGAGAGAGAGAGAGAGAGAGAGAGAGACUUAGCUUAUGACAACACAAUUUUUUUUUUUCACAACUUUUCCUGGACGUGGCUUCUCGCAAUCAUCACCAACCUUCGGAAACGUUUAUAUUGGGAUGAAAAUAUUGGGUUACAGAUCAACUUGGCGCCAUAAACAAGAGACUGGCCAAGAAAGAAGCACUGAUUAAGAGAAGGAAAGAGAGGAAGAAGGAAAAGGAGGAGGAGGAGAUAAGAGAAGAAGAAAAAGGAGGAGGAGGAGAUAAGAGAAGAAGGAAAAGGAGGAGGAGGAGAUAAGAGAAGAAGGAAAAGGAGGAGGAGGA
Molecule: long non-coding RNA, 5894 nt
Organism: Eriocheir sinensis (Chinese mitten crab)
Lineage: Eukaryota; Metazoa; Arthropoda; Malacostraca; Decapoda; Varunidae
Exons: 2
Source: RefSeq, a predicted model, not a curated record